This 561-nucleotide ribosomal RNA is filed under the name uncultured bacterium. Its description in RNAcentral is "partial 16S ribosomal RNA". It matches the Rfam family "Bacterial small subunit ribosomal RNA", at positions 355 to 1375 of the family's 1533-position model. The record is from RNAcentral.
UGGGGAAUAUUGGACAAUGGGCGCAAGCCUGAUCCAGCCAUGCCGCGUGAGUGAUGAAGGCCUUAGGGUUGUAAAGCUCUUUCGCCGGUGAAGAUAAUGACGGUAACCGGAGAAGAAGCCCCGGCUAACUUCGUGCCAGCAGCCGCGGUAAUACGAAGGGGGCUAGCGUUGCUCGGAAUCACUGGGCGUAAAGCGCACGUAGGCGGAUCGUUAAGUCAGGGGUGAAAUCCUGGAGCUCAACUCCAGAACUGCCCUUGAUACUGGCGAUCUCGAGUUCGAGAGAGGUUGGUGGAACUCCGAGUGUAGAGGUGAAAUUCGUAGAUAUUCGGAAGAACACCAGUGGCGAAGGCGGCCAACUGGCUCGAUACUGACGCUGAGGUGCGAAAGCGUGGGGAGCAAAACAGGAUUAGAUACCCUGGUAGUCCACGCCGUAAACGAUGGAUGCUAGCCGUUGGGGGGUUUACCUCUCAGUGGCGCAGCUAACGCCUUAAGCAUCCCGCCUGGGGAGUACGGUCGCAAGAUUAAAACUCAAAUGAAUUGACGGGGUCAUAGCUGUUUCCU